GGUUGAUGGGCUGCCCUGGGUGAUUCCUCCUGCUGUGAGCUGUCAAUUUUGCUUUGUGGCCCCAGUUGGGAACAGGAAGUGAGUACUCCCUCCAGCGGAGGUAUGAGUCUAUUGUUUUGAAACUGGUUGUGUGAGUGCUGCCAGGUGGGGUCAGCCACCCGGGUGAGGUUCCUUCACCGUUUUGCUGUGAUUUGGAGCACUGGGCACUUUUUUUGUGUGUGUUUGAUGUUUGCCGUGUGUGUAUAUGCACCCCGGACACUCUCCCCCUUAAAUCUGUCCCCAUCUUUUUGGCAGCCUCAGCCACAGCCUUGUUUUUUUUUUUUUAGACUGUGGAUCUAUUUGUCAAAGUAAUUGCUUCACUGUAAUAAAUCUUUAUACAUACCC
This is a long non-coding RNA of Myripristis murdjan (pinecone soldierfish), 384 nucleotides long. RefSeq lists it as uncharacterized. The transcript is spliced from 3 exons. NCBI's taxonomy places the organism in Eukaryota, Metazoa, Chordata, Actinopteri, Holocentriformes, Holocentridae. The record is from RefSeq and is a predicted model, not a curated record.